RNAcentral lists this ribosomal RNA (777 nucleotides) under uncultured bacterium. Its description in RNAcentral is "bacterial SSU rRNA". It matches the Rfam family "Bacterial small subunit ribosomal RNA", at positions 51 to 827 of the family's 1533-position model. The record is from RNAcentral.
ACACAUGCAAGUCGAACGAGAAUCUGCUGAAGGAGGAUUCGUCCAACGGAUGUAGAGGAAAGUGGCGGACGGGUGAGUAACGCGUGAGGAACCUGCCUUGAAGAGGGGGACAACAGUUGGAAACGACUGCUAAUACCGCAUGAAGCAUAGGGGUCGCAUGAUCCUUAUGCCAAAGAUUUAUCGCUUCAAGAUGGCCUCGCGUCUGAUUAGCUGGUUGGCGGGGUAACGGCCCACCAAGGCGACGAUCAGUAGCCGGACUGAGAGGUUGAACGGCCACAUUGGGACUGAGAUACGGCCCAGACUCCUACGGGAGGCAGCAGUGGGGAAUAUUGGGCAAUGGGCGCAAGCCUGACCCAGCAACGCCGCGUGAAGGAAGAAGGCUUUCGGGUUGUAAACUUCUUUUAAGAGGGAAGAGCAGAAGACGGUACCUCUAGAAUAAGCCACGGCUAACUACGUGCCAGCAGCCGCGGUAAUACGUAGGUGGCAAGCGUUGUCCGGAUUUACUGGGUGUAAAGGGCGUGCAGCCGGGUCUGCAAGUCAGAUGUGAAAUCCAUGGGCUCAACCCAUGAACUGCAUUUGAAACUGUAGAUCUUGAGUGUCGGAGGGGCAAUCGGAAUUCCUAGUGUAGCGGUGAAAUGCGUAGAUAUUAGGAGGAACACCAGUGGCGAAGGCGGAUUGCUGGACGAUAACUGACGGUGAGGCGCGAAAGUGUGGGGAGCAAACAGGAUUAGAUACCCUGGUAGUCCACACUGUAAACGAUGAAUACUAGGUGUGCGG